Long non-coding RNA from Felis catus (domestic cat), 421 nucleotides. RefSeq lists it as uncharacterized. NCBI's taxonomy places the organism in Eukaryota, Metazoa, Chordata, Mammalia, Carnivora, Felidae. The record is from RefSeq and is a predicted model, not a curated record. The transcript has 2 exons.
GGGGGCUGCCCGAGGACACGGUCAGGUGGGGAGGCUCUGGAAGGCUGCCCUGAGCCCUCCUGGGGCCCACGGCUCCACAGCCGGGGCAGCUGGGUGACGUCACAGGCAGGGUGACGUGGGCCUGUGGUGCCCAGCAGCACGUGAGAGUGAUAUGGAGUGACAACUGUCAGCAGCCCACUGCUUGGCCCUGCCCCGAGGCAGGGACUGCUGGAAAUGAGCCCUCCAGACCAACUUCCUGCUGCUGCCGUGAUGGAAGGGCAGCUCCUGGGCUCAUCCCCUCAGGCGUUCGGAACUCCCUGUCCCCCUUGCGGGCUCGCUGGGCACUUGGGCCAGGAAGCCUCUGCAUCUGUCCUCUCUGGGAUGACGGACGUGGGGCCCCAGCAUACUGUCAUGCUCAUUAAAGGCUCACUCACCUGAGAAA